Molecule: ribosomal RNA, 508 nt
Filed under: uncultured bacterium
Lineage: Bacteria
Description: bacterial SSU rRNA
Rfam family: Bacterial small subunit ribosomal RNA
Source: RNAcentral
AGUUUGAUCCUGGCUCAGGAUAAACGCUGGCGGCGCACAUAAGACAUGCAAGUCGAACGGACUUAACUCAUUCUUUUAGUUUGAGAGCGGUUAGUGGCGGACUGGUGAGUAACACGUAAGCAACCUGCCUAUCAGAGGGGAAUAACAGUGAGAAAUCACUGCUAAUACCGCAUAAGCUAGUAGUAUCGCAUGAUACAGCUAGAAAAGGAGCAAUCCGCUGAUAGAUGGGCUUGCGUCUGAUUAGGUAGUUGGUGGGGUAACGGCCCACCAAGGCGACGAUCAGUAGCCGAACUGAGAGGUUGAACGGCCACAUUGGGACUGAGAUACGGCCCAGACUCCUACGGGAGGCAGCAGUCGGGAAUAUUGCGCAAUGGAGGAAACUCUGACGCAGUGACGCCGCGUAUAGGAAGAAGGUUUUCGGAUUGUAAACUAUUGUCGUGAGGGAAGAAGUUGACAGUACCUCAGGAGGAAGCUCCGGCUAACUAUGUGCCAGCCGCCGCGGUAAUUC